RNAcentral lists this small nuclear RNA (163 nucleotides) under Zea mays. Its description in RNAcentral is "U2 spliceosomal RNA". It matches the Rfam family "U2 spliceosomal RNA". Rfam says of the family: U2 is a small nuclear RNA (snRNA) component of the spliceosome (involved in pre-mRNA splicing). The record is from Rfam by way of RNAcentral. Lineage: Eukaryota; Viridiplantae; Streptophyta; Magnoliopsida; Poales; Poaceae.
ACUCAUUUUCAGUCUUUUGACUAAGAUCAAGUGUAAUAUUUAUUUUACCAGUUCAAUAUAUGGUAUAUGAACAAUAUGUUCACUUUGACAUUAAAUUCAUUUAUGAUGGGUAUUUUAUGUGGAGUGUCCAUUAAGGCUCUCAAGUGUUGCUUAGUCACCCAAU